UACGUAGGUGGCGAGCGUUGUCCGGAUUUACUGGGCGUAAAGGGUGCGCAGGCGGCACGGCAAGCCGGCGGUCAAAUCGCGGGGCUCAACCCCGCCCAGCCGUCGGAACUGCCGGGCUAGAGUGGGCGAGAAGUGCGCGGAAUGCGUGGUGUAGCGGUGAAAUGCAUAGAUAUCACGCAGAACUCCGAUUGCGAAGGCAGCGCACCGGCGCCCUACUGACGCUCAGGCACGAAAGCGUGGGUAUCGAACAGG
RNAcentral lists this ribosomal RNA (252 nucleotides) under uncultured bacterium. Its description in RNAcentral is "partial 16S ribosomal RNA". It matches the Rfam family "Bacterial small subunit ribosomal RNA", at positions 524 to 776 of the family's 1533-position model. The record is from RNAcentral.